UACGUAGGGUGCGAGCGUUAAUCGGAAUUACUGGGCGUAAAGUGUGCGCAGGUGGCCGCGCAAGUCGAGUGUGAAAUCCCCGAGCUUAACUUGGGAAUUGCGCUCGAAACUACGUGGCUCGAGUGUGGCAGAGGAAGGUGGAAUUCCACGUGUAGCGGUGAAAUGCGCAGAUAUCAGGAGGAACACCGGUGGCGAAGGCGGGUCUCUGGGCCGAUACUGACGCUGAGGAGCGAAAGCGUGGGGAGCGAACAGG
Molecule: ribosomal RNA, 253 nt
Filed under: uncultured bacterium
Lineage: Bacteria
Description: partial 16S ribosomal RNA
Rfam family: Bacterial small subunit ribosomal RNA
Source: RNAcentral